This 442-nucleotide ribosomal RNA is filed under the name uncultured bacterium. RNAcentral's name for it is "partial 16S ribosomal RNA". It matches the Rfam family "Bacterial small subunit ribosomal RNA", at positions 338 to 795 of the family's 1533-position model. The record is from RNAcentral.
CCUACGGGUGGCAGCAGUGGGGAAUAUUGCACAAUGGGCGCAAGCCUGAUCCAGCAACGCCGCGUGAAGGAAGAAGGCUUUCGGGUUGUAAACUUCUUUUGACGGGGAAGAGUAUAAGACGGUACCUGUCGAAUAAGCCACGGCUAACUAAGUGCAAGCAGACGGGGUAAGACGUAGGUGGCAAGCGUUGUCAGGAGUUACUGGGUGGAAAGGGCGUGUAGCCGGGUUGACUAGUCAGAUGUGAAAUCCUGCGGCUUAACCGGCGAACUGCAUUUGAUACUGUUGAUCUUGAGUACUGGAGAGGCAGACGGAAUUCCUGGUGUAGCGGUGAAAUGCGUAGAUAUUAGGAGGAACACCAGUGGCGAAGGCGGUCUGCUGGACAGCAACUGACGGUGAGGCGCGAAAGCGUGGGGAGCAAACAGGAUUAGAUACCCCUGUAGUC